This 492-nucleotide ribosomal RNA is filed under the name uncultured bacterium. RNAcentral's name for it is "partial 16S ribosomal RNA". It matches the Rfam family "Bacterial small subunit ribosomal RNA", at positions 29 to 507 of the family's 1533-position model. The record is from RNAcentral.
AGUGAACGCUGGCGGUAGGCCUAACACAUGCAAGUCGAACGGCAGCACAGUAAGAGCUUGCUCUUACGGGUGGCGAGUGGCGGACGGGUGAGGAAUACAUCGGAAUCUACUUUUUCGUGGGGGAUAACGUAGGGAAACUUACGCUAAUACCGCAUACGACCUACGGGUGAAAGCAGGGGAUCUUCGGACCUUGCGCGAUUGAAUGAGCCGAUGUCGGAUUAGCUAGUUGGCGGGGUAAAGGCCCACCAAGGCGACGAUCCGUAGCUGGUCUGAGAGGACGAUCAGCCACACUGGAAGUGAGACACGGUCAAGACUCCUACGGGAGGCAGCAGUGGGGAAUAUUGGACAAUGGGCGCAAGCCUGAUACAGCCAUACCGCGUGGGUGAAGAAGGCCUUCGGGUUGUAAAGACCUUUUGUUGGGAAAGAAAAGCAGCAGGUUAAUACCCCGCUGUUCUGACGGUACCCAAAGAAUAAGCACCGGCUAACUUCGUG